This 529-nucleotide long non-coding RNA is filed under the name Equus caballus (horse). RNAcentral describes it as "lncRNA (ENSECAG00000042044.2)". Lineage: Eukaryota; Metazoa; Chordata; Mammalia; Perissodactyla; Equidae. The record is from RNAcentral.
CCUGUUUUGAGCUUCCCACUGCUGCUGGGGCUGCAGCCGGUCUCCGGGAUGAUGGACGAGCACUGACAGGGGAGCGGCAGGGGUGUAGAGGUGUCAAAGGUGCCACCUCCUCCAAGAUAACGGAUUUUGGGUUGAGAAGAUAGACUGUGAUACAAACAACAACCAUGAGGACAACAACAACAUCUCGACAACGACAGCAACAAAUGCCAUUUUCGAGGGCCUAAUUCCCGCCACACACUGUAGUGGAUGUCCUUGACCACCAGUCAAGGUCAAAUGAAACGGAAGUGGUCCGCCCCUUAAUUCAGUCAACAGAGGAGCACGCCACCUGGCCCUGGCCCCAAGCUCGGUCAGUGGAUGCUGCUGAGCAGACUACAGAUCCGUCACUGGGCGAGUCCUGAGCCAGCACAGCUGUCACGGGGAGGAGUGGCUCUGCGCCGCAGCCAUGGCGAGUUUAUCCUUGAGCAUGACAGCUGCCAAAACACACAGCCUGCCCGGAAUACCCAACGCUGUUUGUCCUGGUGCCGUUCCG